CCUACGGGAGGCUGCAGUGGGGAAUAUUGCGCAAUGGGCGAGAGCCUGACGCAGCGACGCCGCGUGGGUGAUGAAGGCCUUCGGGUUGUAAAGCCCUGUCGGGUGGAACGAACGAUCUGGCGGCGAAUAACCGCCGGGUGUGACGGUACCACCGAAGGAAGCCCCGGCUAACUACGUGCCAGCAGCCGCGGUAAGAAGUAGGGGGCGAGCGUUGUUCGGAUUGGCGGCGCGUAAAGUCCGCGUUGAAAGCCCUCGGCUUAACCGAGGUCCCGCAUCCGAUACUGUCUGGCUCGAGUCUAGGAGAGGAAAGCGGAAUUCCCAGUGUAGCGGUGAAAUGCGUAGAUAUUGGGAGGAACACCGGUGGCGAAGGCGGCUUUCCGGACUAGUACUGACGCUGAGGCGCGAAAGCUAGGGGAGCGAACGGGAUUAGAUACCCCUGUAGUC
RNAcentral lists this ribosomal RNA (444 nucleotides) under uncultured bacterium. Its description in RNAcentral is "partial 16S ribosomal RNA". It matches the Rfam family "Bacterial small subunit ribosomal RNA", at positions 338 to 795 of the family's 1533-position model. The record is from RNAcentral.